AGUGAACGCUGGCGGUAGGCCUAACACAUGCAAGUCGAACGGCAGCACAGUAAGAGCUUGCUCUUACGGGUGGCGAGUGGCGGACGGGUGAGGAAUACAUCGGAAUCUACUUUUUCGUGGGGGAUAACGUAGGGAAACUUACGCUAAUACCGCAUACGACCUACGGGUGAAAGCAGGGGAUCUUCGGACCUUGCGCGAUUGAAUGAGCCGAUGUCGGAUUAGCUAGUUGGCGGGGUAAAGGCCCACCAAGGCGACGAUCCGUAGCUGGUCUGAGAGGAUGAUCAGCCACACUGGAACUGAGACCAGGUCCAGACUCCUACGGGAGGCAGCAGUGGGGAAUAUUGGACAAUGGGCGCAAGCCUGAUCCAGCCAUACCGCGUGGGUGAAGAAGGCCUUCGGGUUGUAAAGCCCUUUUGUUGGGAAAGAAAAGCAGCAGGUUAAUACCCCGCUGUUCUGACGGUACCCAAAGAAUAAGCACCGGCUAACUUCGUG
Molecule: ribosomal RNA, 492 nt
Filed under: uncultured bacterium
Lineage: Bacteria
Description: partial 16S ribosomal RNA
Rfam family: Bacterial small subunit ribosomal RNA
Source: RNAcentral